This 500-nucleotide ribosomal RNA is filed under the name uncultured bacterium. Its description in RNAcentral is "partial 16S ribosomal RNA". It matches the Rfam family "Bacterial small subunit ribosomal RNA", at positions 30 to 523 of the family's 1533-position model. The record is from RNAcentral.
AUUGAACGCUGGCGGCAUGCCUUACACAUGCAAGUCGAACGGCAGCACGGGAGCAAUCCUGGUGGCGAGUGGCGAACGGGUGAGUAAAGUAUCGGAACGUGCCCAAUCGUGGGGGAUAACGUAGCGAAAGUUACGCUAAUACCGCAUACGAUCUAUGGAUGAAAGCGGGGGAUCGCAAGACCUCGCGCGAUUGGAGCGGCCGAUAUCAGAUUAGGUAGUUGGGGGGGUAAAGGCUCACCAAGCCGACGAUCUGUAGCUGGUCUGAGAGGACGACCAGCCACACUGGGACUGAGACACGGCCCAGACUCCUACGGGAGGCAGCAGUGGGGAAUUUCGGACAAUGGGCGAAAGCCUGAUCCAGCCAUGCCGCGUGCAGGAUGAAGGCCUUCGGGUUGUAAACUGCUUCUGUACGGAACGAAAAGGUUUGGCCUAAUAAGCUGAGCUCAUGACGGUACCGUAAGAAUAAGCACCGGCUAACUACGUGCCAGCCGCCGCCGUAA